RNAcentral lists this ribosomal RNA (207 nucleotides) under uncultured bacterium. RNAcentral describes it as "partial 16S ribosomal RNA". It matches the Rfam family "Bacterial small subunit ribosomal RNA", at positions 568 to 774 of the family's 1533-position model. The record is from RNAcentral.
CGCGUAGGCGGAUCGUUAAGUCAGAGGUGAAAUCCCAGGGCUCAACCCUGGAACUGCCCUUGAUACUGGCGAUCUUGAGUAUGAGAGAGGUAUGUGGAACUCCGAGUGUAGAGGUGAAAUUCGUAGAUAUUCGGAAGAACACCAGUGGCGAAGGCGACAUACUGGCUCAUUACUGACGCUGAGGCGCGAAAGCGUGGGGAGCAAACA